CCGUCGAUAGCUUAGUUAGUAGAGCAGCGGACUAUAGAGUUGCACCUAUCCUUAGGUUGCUGGCUCGAAUCUGGCUCGAUGGA
Non-coding RNA from Parelaphostrongylus tenuis, 83 nucleotides. The record is from the annotation of a GenBank genome assembly. Lineage: Eukaryota; Metazoa; Nematoda; Chromadorea; Rhabditida; Metastrongylidae.